RNAcentral lists this unclassified non-coding RNA (257 nucleotides) under rhizosphere metagenome. RNAcentral's name for it is "partial ribosomal RNA internal transcribed spacer region". The record is from RNAcentral.
GUAGGUGAACCUGCGGAAGGAUCAUUAACACUAUUAAAAAAUCCAACGUGUCUUAAACAUCCGUUUUAAGACAUAAACCCCCUUUUUUUUUAAAAGCGAACUAAAACGAAGGAUUUAUUUCUCUUCGUUUCUUUUUUUUUCUCUUUUACCACAAACCCAAUUGAAUUUUUUAGACUGAAACUUUUUUUCUUCUGGAAACAGAGAAAAAUAAAAAACAAAAUGCUAUACAACUCUCAACAACGGAUCUCUUGGUUCUG